This is a long non-coding RNA of Alligator mississippiensis (American alligator), 1551 nucleotides long. RefSeq lists it as uncharacterized. NCBI's taxonomy places the organism in Eukaryota, Metazoa, Chordata, Crocodylia, Alligatoridae. The transcript is spliced from 2 exons. The record is from RefSeq and is a predicted model, not a curated record.
UGGCUCAAUACUGACAUUAAAACAACCACCUUGGGUUUGUCUCAAUGAAACUCUGAUCAGGAGACAGCGUCGUUAGUUAAGGCAUCUAAAACUUCGCCAAAUCAAGUAUUUACAUGUACAGUUUAUACUACGACAGCUUUGAAAAGCCUUAAUGAGAAUCAGGGGCCCAGAAUGCAAGGCACCAUACAGUUAGACAAGUCGUGUCCUAAAAUGCUUACACAGUCAAGAGACAAACUAAGGAUACAACAUAAAAGCCAAGUGAUCGGGGUGACAUCAGACACACGGCAACAUGAGCAUAACCUGGCAAAAGACUCGGCAUCAGAGAGACCGUGACGCUGAUAAAGAGCUCAUGCAGCACGCGAGAAAUGGGAUGCGAUGAGACAUGACAAUGUGCCUUAGCGAAGCUGGACGUCUGCGCACGUAUGAAUCUGCAAGCAAAAUCCAUACGCAUCACCUAGGUUUCCGCAUCAACUUCUCAGACGCUUCACAUACAGCACCUUGUGGGCAAUUCCUGGAUUGUAGCUGGUGAACUUUCAAGGGUACGCUAUUCACCUCCCUUAGCCAGAGAGGUGGAAGAGAAAAACAAAGAAAACCCAGACAGGACUCCUUACGGUCAUGUACAUUAAUCUAUCAUCAAGAUAAAUCGACAUUAUGUCUUUUUUUCCCCCCCAAUAACGAAUCACUGAGUGAAAUUCAAUAAAAAGAACAGCAACAUGAAUGACCUUAAAGCUGUAGCUAAACUUCUCAAACAAAAAACACAUAGGUACAAUUCUGGCAGGAACUAAACUACAACUGCAUUUAUAGGCAUCUUUGUCCCACAUUAUUCUAAUUAAGAAAAUACUAAGUAAUUAUAUCAGGGUCGGGUAAUUAUUUUGGGCGGAGGGCCACUUACUGAGUUUUGGCAAGCCAUCGAGGGCCGCGUGACAGGCAGCCCAGGGCAGAUAAGUAUUACUUUUCUAAAUUUUUUAGGGGCCCCGCGGGCUGGAUAGAAUGGCCUGGCAUGCCACAUCUGGCCCCCGGGCCGCAUUUUGCCCACCCCUGGAUUAUAUAGUGUCUAAUUCCCAGGUCUAUGCUCAGGUCAGUAGGCCAGCUGCCCUCAGACUGUGGCCCCCUCACCAGCUGUCCAAGGAGAGCUGCCCAGCCACGUGGUAACUGGCUUGUUUUCAGCAUCCUUCUCCGGAUGUGCAAACUUUUUACCGAGCAGAACCCAGCUCUCUGUAAAAGCAGCACGGGGGAAACAAAGAACCAUCAAUACAGUUAAGAAUAACUAAAUAUUUCCCCAUGAAAGGAAUCACUGUAUUUACCAAAGAGAUGCAGAGUAAUAACUGAGAGAAGAGCUCUCUCAUUUGUGAUCACCUGGAGAGAUAAUACCCAAGACAUGGUCACACUACAAAAAAGGUAAGAACUUCCUGAGCUUAACGGCAGCUCUUAUUAAAUAACAGAAAAUGGAUUGGGACCUCUUCUGUCACCCUCCUUCAACACCAGCAUUUAAGAGGUCACUUCUGAACAAAAAAAGCAACCGCACAGCAUUAAAACUAUUUCUAAAACCAA